Molecule: transfer RNA, 68 nt
Filed under: Sarcophilus harrisii (Tasmanian devil)
Lineage: Eukaryota; Metazoa; Chordata; Mammalia; Dasyuromorphia; Dasyuridae
Rfam family: tRNA
About the family: Transfer RNA (tRNA) molecules are approximately 80 nucleotides in length.
Source: Rfam by way of RNAcentral
GGUAAAAUGGCUGAGGAUAAGCAUUGAACUGUAAAUUCAAAAACAGAGAUAGAAUCUCUUUUUUACCA